Boleophthalmus pectinirostris (great blue-spotted mudskipper) is the source of this 699-nucleotide long non-coding RNA. RefSeq lists it as uncharacterized. The transcript is spliced from 5 exons. Lineage: Eukaryota; Metazoa; Chordata; Actinopteri; Gobiiformes; Gobiidae. The record is from RefSeq and is a predicted model, not a curated record.
CGUGAGCCCGCGCAGACCCGGAGCCGAGACACAAACUCCACACAAAUAUUAAAGAUUUCAGCACAAACCUGUUAUUUAACCAGGCCGGAGGAGGAGUGUGAACAAAACACGAGGUACAGGCUUUACCAGGACAGUUUGGGUUUUAUUCCCACUGGGAGAACGUGGGAGAAGGUUCUGGACCCUGAACCGCCCAUGAGACACGGAGACACGGAGACACGGAGACAUGGAAGGAGAGUCCACAGGGAGCGCGGGAAACACGGCACGUAAAGCGGCACGUGAUCCUUUCUCCACACCUACAAACUCACUGCCAAGGCUGAGCCCCACUUCCUGUUGCAUGGUUAUUGUGGCGGGACAACUUCCUUUAAGUUCUGUCGUCUCUUUACACAUCGUCCUGCUCCUGUCCUCCGGUGAGACCAUCGCUUGUGGAAACUUUUAACACAGCAGAUCUAACAAAGAUUACCAGACGGAUUUGUUCAUCUGUCAGUCAUCUCAACAUCUGCUCAACGGUCAGUUUUUUUCCACUGGAUCAUUCUGCUGCAGUACAACAAUCCACAGCUGGAUGAGGAGCUCCACGUUCUCCUCAUGAUCACGUAACUCAAAUGGACCAUAACACUCUCUACACCCGCUUCUGAACUGGACUACUGUCUUGUACUGUUUAAAGUAUAUCUACCUAUAAAUAAUUAAAUAAUAUAAAAUAAA